CUCUAGAUUGGUGUGCACACUUUCGCAAGCAGACACUACCCCUACUCGUAAAUUGGCAAAAGCCGAAAUAUGUGACCGUCGAUGCUACAUGAGUGUGCGCUCACUCAUGUGGUAAAUCGAAUGCCUAAACAUUGGCGUAAGAUCGUGGAGGCCGGCCAUGAGCAAUUUCAUGGGAUUAGGCCAUUUUAGGCCAUGUUGGGCCAAAAUGGGUCGU
Molecule: long non-coding RNA, 214 nt
Filed under: Gossypium barbadense (sea-island cotton)
Lineage: Eukaryota; Viridiplantae; Streptophyta; Magnoliopsida; Malvales; Malvaceae
Description: long non-coding RNA (GBAR_LNC002134)
Source: RNAcentral